UGUGGAACUUUAUUUUUAUAAUGCCUGCUCACGCAAGGCAGAUUGAUUUUUUUUUUAAAUCAAACAAAAUUACAGUGCAAUCAUUCUGGAGUACACAUCCAAAACCCAUCGAAUGAACAGUCACAUUUGCUACCAUAUAUAAACAAACCAUUAUAACAUAAAGCUCUACUUUACAGAGUAUGCAGAUAUUAGACAUCACACAUUAAGGAUUAUACAAUAAAACAACAACAAUUGAUUACAGUUUUAAUUUUGUGUAUGAGGCUGGUGAGAUUAUGUCAAUGGUGUUUGUGCAGACUAAUUUUUUUUUUUUUACUGCCGGCAGAGGCCCAGACUAUUGGGGCACAGUUGACUACCAACUUUUAGCUCCAACCAUUGGAAACUGCAGAGCUCAGAUCAACUGCUAGCACCAACCAUUGGAACACAUAGGGCUCUGGUGUGAAGUGAACCAAGGCUGUGUUUACACAGGUAGCCCAAUUCAGAAACGGUAUUUUCCCUAAUAAUUAUUUUGCCCAAUCCCAUCUAAUGUUUUUAUAGCUGAUGUGAUUGGUCAAAAGACCAAAUUGGUGGAAAAUAUUUAGUAAUUGGCAUGCCAGUGUAAUGGGAAUGUGGUGCCAUACUGGAAACACUCUUAUACAGCUGUACAGUCAACCUGAUUAUCUAAACGUGUCCUCUGAAUGUCAGCCAUAUUGCUUAGAUUGUGCAUGAAUUUUCAUAUAUUUCUUGGUGAGUAGAUGCAUGAAAACAGAAUAACAGCUAUGCAAGCUUCCUUAUUGCGAUGUUAAGAGAACCACAAUUGCUUAGGCUGAGUGUUUCUCGUCAGGAGAUAACAGGUAGCAGUUUCCGGGGAAGGCAUGCCAAUUGGUCGAAUCUCACAGAUUCAAGAACCAAUCACUGGUAAGCUCUAGUUUCAACAACUGGAUUAUUGCAAAAGAAAUACAGCAUACAACUCAAUUGAUUAUUUACUCAAUGGAUUAUUUACAAUGGUCAGGAGAGAGAUUAUUGUGAGAGGGGUGUCAAGAGAGGAGGCAGUGGUUCAUGAAAGAUUCUACUGGAGUCUGUGGAUAGGGAGCCAGACAUGAAAGUGGAUGAGAAAUGUUGAAAGAGACAAGGGUCUAACUAGCUGCUCCUUCAUAUUAAAUUAGAGUGGAGGUGUUCGAGUGGGUGGUUUCUCAGCAGAAUUCACACAGCUGAGGACCGCAGAGAUUUAGAGAGGUGAGAGAAACAGAGAAGUGUUUAAUCACUGAUUUGAGAAGGUGGAGAAGAGUAUCUGGGGACGGAGACUAUGGUCAUAUAAUUCAACACAAUGUUCUGCCAAAGGCAGUUUGCCUGGUUACCCAAACCCCUUUCUCUGGACUAACUAUAUGCCAUUUCAAUUGCCAUUAGUUUCUCACCUGCAAGUAAUCUGAACCGACUCACUUGUUGCCAAAAACAACAAAACCAUCUGAUUGAUCCUAGUAAUCUAUGGGUUUCCUCUGACUGGUCCCAGAAACCGAUGGAUUGGUUGAGAACCUACACUAGUAAAGCAUCAUGUUGACACACUGAUUGGUUAGAGAUGACUUCCUUGUUACAACAUCACUCAUUUUGUCACCAAAACUGGAAUUGAAGGUGUGAAAUGUGUAGCAAACAAUAGAGUCCUGGAUAUUUACAAUGUGACAAUAGGGAGAUGACACCCACUAUGGCAACCAGAAACACUUAAAUGCCCAGAACAGCUGAGAUCUUCCUCUCUCACACCUUCCUGCCUCUCCUGCACAUUGCACCGACAUGUUACACCACAUGUAUAUAUUCAUUAUAAGGGACCUAUAACGCCAAGGCAAGAGGCAGUCAGGGAGGAGGGCAGAAGAGCUGUAGUGCGGUUAAAGACAUUUGGCCAGUUAACCUGCCCCACCAACUCAACCAGUGUUCAGGGCACUAUGGUGACACUGUAACUACAGCCUGCGUCACUCUGGGUUUAACCUGGACAAACAUUAAGGAUAUUCUCGUCUACGACUGCACAAUGAGUCAGUUACAUCUGCAAUCCAAACAGCCUGUCCUGAUCAUUCACCGAGUUAUCACAAAAGGCUAUUGCACUUUUAUCUCUUCGGUCCAGGAUGAGAAAACCUACUCAGCCUGGUCUUCACUUCAAGCCCUGCCAACAUGUUCGUUGCAUCAUUAAUCAAACAAGUUGUCAGGAAGCUUCCCCUCUCUAUGCUGACAUGAACACUUUUCCCCAGUGGCCAACAUUACAAAGGUUAUCUAUCAGUAUUGCACCAACCCAAUGGACUUGAAUGAUUAGAAAUGGAGUGGAUUUAGUAUUAACCGCCCUUGGACGGUGGUAACGAAGUUGAUAUAAGAUUUUUUUUUUUUUUUUUUUAUAUUGAUGAAAAAUGGGCCCCUAAAUAGGGCAAUGGUAAAGUCAAUGCAGAUAGCAUAACCAGAGACCAGGGCUAGAAUGCUGCUCCUGGAUCAGGAAGAAUGCGUGGGAAGACAUAUCUCAACAUCAACUGUCGCAGGUCUGCUGUGAAGAAGCAGGGUCUUAAACAACAUAUUUGAAAUCACAAAAUUUGGGAGAAAAAACACUAUCGAAAACACUAAUAUAGCAUGAUUAUAUAAGUAUUCACCCCCUCCGGUAGCAGCAACUUUAUGAACGAUAAUAAUUGAUAUUAUUGGAUAAGUCCCUUAAUGCUUUUCAAUACUCAUUUAUAUAAAGAAAUACAGUAUUGACAAAUAUUUCAGAAUUAAUUUUCCAAUAAAAUCUUUUUGUGUAGUUUUGUCUAUUUUCCUAAACAUCGGUUAUGGCUAUAACCUUCAAUCCAAAAAGAACUGCCUUCAUUUGCUGCCAAAGGUGUUUCUACGAAGUACUGAACACAGGGUUUCAAUACUUAUGUACAUCAAAUAUCAGUUCUUCCAUUUUAAAUAAAUUGGCACAAUAUAUGCUUUGUCAUAUAAUGGGGUAACGUGUGUAGAUUGAAAGCAGCAAAAAAAGAAUUACAAAUUAACUUUGUAACACAACAAAAUACAUAAAGGUGAAGGGAAUUCUGUCUGUAGCCACUGUAAACUGGGUCAUGUCCCUCAUCAAAACAUAAUCCACCGUUAAUUAUUGAGCAUGCAGCAAUCUAUAGAAAACUCUAAAUAUUCACCAAAGACCCUCAAUAACACAUUCAGAGUAGCUAUUUUUCACAGUGAGACAAAAGACAAACUAUUACAUUUCACGAGCCUUACAUAGCUCACGUUUAAAACAAGUCAGUUCCAUAAAUGGCUUUGCUGAACAGAGCACCCGAAAUUAUCAUUGUUAUAGAAUUCUCACACACACACACACACACACACACACACACACACACACACACACACACACACACACACACACAC
This is a long non-coding RNA of Esox lucius (northern pike), 3345 nucleotides long. The record is from Ensembl. Lineage: Eukaryota; Metazoa; Chordata; Actinopteri; Esociformes; Esocidae.